GCUUGUCUCAAAGAUUAAGCCAUGCAUGUCUAAGUUUAAAUAGAAAACAGUGAAACUGCGAAUGGCUCAUUAAAUAAUUUUGCAUAUACAAGAUAGUCAACUCUACUUGGAUAACCGUAGUAAUUCUAGAGCUAAUACAUGCAUUAAACCCCGACUUCUGGAAGGGGUGUAUUUAUUAGAUGGAAACCAAUGCGGGGUAACCCGGAAUAUGGUGAUUCAUAAUAACUUUCGGAUCGAUUUAUCGAUGCAUCAUUCAAGUUUCUGCCCUAUCAGCUUUGGAUGGUAGGGUAUUGGCCUACCAUGGCUUUAACGGGUAACGGAGAAUUAGGGUUCGAUUCCGGAGAGGGAGCCUGAGAAAUGGCUACCACAUCCAAGGAAGGCAGCAGG
RNAcentral lists this ribosomal RNA (387 nucleotides) under uncultured Chrysophyceae. Its description in RNAcentral is "partial small subunit ribosomal RNA". It matches the Rfam family "Eukaryotic small subunit ribosomal RNA", at positions 30 to 432 of the family's 1831-position model. The record is from RNAcentral. Lineage: Eukaryota; Chrysophyceae.